This 450-nucleotide unclassified non-coding RNA is filed under the name Ladislavella elodes. RNAcentral describes it as "sequence contains ITS2". Lineage: Eukaryota; Metazoa; Mollusca; Gastropoda; Lymnaeidae. The record is from RNAcentral.
CUUGCAGCUCUCGCAGGACCGGAGCCUUCCGCCGUGGACUCUCAUUCACAGCGCCUCCGACUUGCUCGUCGGGGUGCUUGGGGGACCCGUCGUUCGGCACCGGUCGGACACGCCCUGGACCCUCGCGGCCUACACCGUCGCUGCUUGCGGUGACAGUGGUGGCCCCGUGGUCUUAAGCGCAAGCCGCGCCGUUGUCCGUUCAUCUCGUAACGUCUUCGACGCUGCCCUGCUCUUGGCGGCCUGUCCAUUUUCUCUACCGCCAGGCAGGACCCGGCUCGCUACUUUAUGGUGCGAUCACGGGCCUGCAGUCCAUGGCAUCGCUGCUCUAGGGUGGAGAAUCGGGGCUCUAUCGAGGACCGAUACCUGAUCGGCGCCCGUCUGUCACUACCGGAUAUAUUCAUUCAUAUUCAUAUAUCUUCUUACCUCCGACCUCAGAUCGGACGAGAUUAC